This 393-nucleotide long non-coding RNA is filed under the name Gallus gallus (chicken). The record is from RNAcentral. Lineage: Eukaryota; Metazoa; Chordata; Aves; Galliformes; Phasianidae.
CGAGGGUUCGGCCCUCAGUAGAUCGUCCCGGAGGGCAGCGCCAAGGGAUGCUGUAGGGAGCCGUGGGGCUGCAGGUGGGAGCCGAGGGGGCUGGCGGCGGGGUACCAGGCCGAGGGGCUCUCCAGGUAGCUGCCGGGGGACGGGUUGGCGGCGGGCGGGUGCCCGUGCCCGUGGUGGCCGAGGGAGCGCGACGAGCCCUGAGGUUCCCACACCGCCGGCGACUGCGGGGAGUUGCAGGCCAUGGGGUCGCUGGAGCUGGGGCUGUGCUCCGGGGGCAUCUCCCCGUUCUUCAUGAUCUUCUUGAUCUUGGACCUUUUGUUCUGGAACCAGAUUUUCACCUGCGUCUGCGUGAGUCCCAGCGAGGCGGCCAGCUCGGCCCGCUCGGGCAGGGCG